UACGUAGGGGCCUAGCGUUGUCCGGAUUUAUUGGGCGUAAAGAGCUCGUAGGCGGUUUGGUUAGUCAGGUGUGAAAUCUCCACGCUCAACGUGGAGGGGCCACCUGAUACUGCCAUGACUUGAGUCCGGUAGGGGAGUGUGGAAUUCCCGGUGUAGCGGUGAAAUGCGCAGAUAUCAGGAAGAACACCCGUGGCGAAGGCGGCUCUCUGGGACGGUACUGACGCUGAGACGCGAAAGCGUGGGGAGCGAACAGG
RNAcentral lists this ribosomal RNA (254 nucleotides) under uncultured bacterium. Its description in RNAcentral is "partial 16S ribosomal RNA". It matches the Rfam family "Bacterial small subunit ribosomal RNA", at positions 524 to 776 of the family's 1533-position model. The record is from RNAcentral.